This 118-nucleotide ribosomal RNA is filed under the name Dasypus novemcinctus (nine-banded armadillo). The record is from RNAcentral. Lineage: Eukaryota; Metazoa; Chordata; Mammalia; Cingulata; Dasypodidae.
GUCUAUGGCCAUACCACCCUGAAUGCUUCCAAACUUCUCUGAUCUCAAAGCCAAGCAGGGUGGGGCCUGGUUAGUAUUUGGAUGGGAGACUACCCAGGAAUACUAAGGGCUGUAGGUU